Adelges cooleyi (spruce gall adelgid) is the source of this 2723-nucleotide long non-coding RNA. RefSeq lists it as uncharacterized. Lineage: Eukaryota; Metazoa; Arthropoda; Insecta; Hemiptera; Adelgidae. The transcript has 13 exons. The record is from RefSeq and is a predicted model, not a curated record.
UUCUUCAAUGCCAUACCUGACAAAUAUCUCUGUCUCUUUAUAACGAUAUCGAUCUCUCUCUCUACUCUCAGUCCAUUUCUUUAUAGGUCUAUGUUUUGGCCACAUUCGGUUAUCAAAAUCGUCGUCGAUUGACGAUUAGUGUAAAAUGUAAAUGAGCCGUUUAAUAAAUUGUCUUCAGCUAAUAGCCAUUGAUUAAAUACAUUUUGUAUUUACCUACACAGCUACCGCCUACUAUAAGUGGCUUUAGCUGGCCUUUAAAGUACAAAAAAAAGUCGUUAAAUUUUCUUUUUACAGUGUAUUUGAGAUACGAAUUAACGCGGGUAACAACUAAAACGCAAUUAUUUUUCGGACAAGAUCCAAAUGCAUCGUCCACGUUUAUGAUGACUUCGUCGGUCGAUCUCUUAUACUAGAAAACAAGAAGCGGCAUUAUAUGAUCAAAAUCACAUUCAAUAUACAUUAUAAUUUGAUUUAACGGACGCGACUGUAAAUUAGUAAUAAUAUUGUGCACGAAAACAAACACAAAAAUCAUCAUGGUGAAUUUGGUCGAACCUCCACUUCUUGCUGUCGGUACUGAGGUCAGUGCCUAGUAUAAAGGAGCAUUUUGUGAUGCAAAGAUCAGGAAAACCUCAAAAUCAGUAAAAUGCAAGAUUGGUGCAAAUGUAAUGAAAAGAAAGAGUUAUAAGAAGGAACAAUUCAAAAAAUACAGGACUAUUGUCAAAACACUGUUGGGAAAGUGGAGAGGAAGACAUUUUAGAAAUGGAAGAAAAAGACAUUGGUAACAUGGUGUGCAUAGAGUUCAAUAACAAAAAAAAAGUCAGAGACAAUUGGUUUCCCGGGUUAGUGCUAGCGCCUACUGCACAAUUUGCAGUCAAAACAAACGUUUUGGAAGACUACUUGGUUCGUUCUUUUAAAGAUGGAAAAUACUGUACAGUUUUGAAAAAAGAAAUUACAGAAUUUACAAAAGAAAUAGCCCCCAAAGUAGAAAAUCCUACUUUAAAAACGGCUGUUGAAAAAGCGAUUUUAUAUCUGGACAAAGAUGAACUUCGGCCACAUUAGGACCGUGACUUACUGUUUGGACUCGAAAAAAACUGUGUCAUGACAGUGAAGGCGUUAUAAUAUUGAUAACUCCAAUUAAGAAUCUAUUGAAGACCAUUUUGGGCACUAUUAUUCAAUUUUAUGGAUGUCCGAGGGACACCUAUAAAAACCAAGCACCCAUGAUUAACGACAAAAAUGUUGAUGUGUACAAACUGUUCAAGGUUGUCAUUAACUUGGGCGGUUUUAACAAAGUCAGUAAAUGUUAACAGUGGAUAACUGGCACAAAGGAUUGGCCACAAACCGUGUUUCUUCUGUCAAACAAUAUUACCAACAGUAUCUACAUAGUAUUGAAGAUUUCUACCAAAAACUCGGCUGCUUGAUGAUAAGUCAUCUUAGAGGAGUGAGAUCUGGAAGCAGAUUUAGUCGCAGUAUCAUUCAUGAUGUGGAUAAAGCGUUACCCUCUAGCAGUUUUGAUAAGAACAGGCAAACGACUAUUGCCAUUAAAUUAGAACCUAAGGAAUAAAAAGAAAAAAUAGAAACUUUCAUAAAGGAAGCCGAUAUUGUCAAAGAACCGGUGACACCAAAAAAACCUUCCAAAACUUUAAAAGUCGAAGACAAGGUUGCUUUAACUUUGAAGAGUAGUGAUAAACAUGUUGCUAAGAAAGUAGAUAAGAAAAAAUACAGGCCUGAAACAAUCGGAAAGAAAACGGAACCGUUUGUCUGAAAAAAAGCCUUUGAAAACCGUAAGGGUAGAAGAGAAGGUGGCAGCAACAUUAAAGAACAACAUUGAAAUUCCACACAAAGUUGACAGAAAAAAAGAAAAGUCUGAAAUCGUUUUGAAAGAAAAGGAAAUGGCUACUGAGUCUGUGACUAAAAAGCCAAGUAAAACGAAAAUAGAAGAAACAAUUACUUGUUCUGGUAAUAGUGCUCGAAACAAAUCUACUGUUAAAAGUGACUCUGUACUGGCUGAAUCAAAAGAUCUUCCUAAGGACAGCAAGGUUAAAAAGGAAUUUAAAGAAGCUACUGUUUAAAAAAAAAGGAAGGAAAAAACGCCAUUAUUUAAAAAAUCCAAAGAGAAGCUUCUGCUAACCAAAUUACAGCCAAACCAAAAAUCGAAGAGGAACUACCAAUGUAUUACCAUUCGUUGUCGUCAACGCUGUCGUCCGAAGACGAGCAGAUCCAGCUCAAGAAGAGAAGAAUCGUUGAUGACAAAAAACUGUCGUCGUUGCUGAAGAAACGGGGUGAAGAAUCCAAACGUUGAUUGCGACAUACACAAGCCUAGCACGAGCAAAGGGUUUUUCAACGCCAUGCGCCAUCAACCUUAACAGCAACCCGAUCGCGAACAUCAUUUCUACGAGUCCAAAUCGCCUUCCAAAACUGAGGCGGUAGCGGUUUGUACGAACCAAGUUCGUCUAAGGUUAAUUUGUUUAGAACCCGAAAGCAAACGGUACAAUCAUAGCAAAAUAACAAUUCCUACUAAAGAUGGUAAACCGCUGGUUACGUUCACACCAGAGAUGGAUUCGGCUCAACGUCAAGCAGUGAUUUUUUUGUAUAAAAUCAACAAACUUCAAAAAGAUUACACCACGGACAAAGCACGCAUUGUAGUGCUGGAUCGCAGGAGAAAGAAGAUCAGGAAACGCAAGAGGGAACUAGCAAAGAGAACAGCCGCAGUGAAUCCGAACAAACAG